Molecule: long non-coding RNA, 203 nt
Organism: Pezoporus occidentalis (night parrot)
Lineage: Eukaryota; Metazoa; Chordata; Aves; Psittaciformes; Psittacidae
Exons: 2
Source: RefSeq, a predicted model, not a curated record
GUCUCUUCUAAACUCUGUCAGAGUUACCCCAGAAGAACAGAGUUGUCUGCAGCUGGACAAGAAUCAACCACAAAGGGAUCUUGAUUUUGUUCAUCGUUAAUUCCAACUCAACAGAUGAAGUCUGGCUAUCAUUGUCACCUUCACAGUUUGCCUUUGUAUUAUGUGAAUCUCAUGUACUCAAUUAACAAUCUGAUUAGCAAGUU